Molecule: non-coding RNA, 89 nt
Organism: Trichuris trichiura (human whipworm)
Lineage: Eukaryota; Metazoa; Nematoda; Enoplea; Trichinellida; Trichuridae
Source: Rfam
CCUCCGAUAGCUCAGUUGGCAGAGCGGUGGACUGUAGCGGUAAUGACGUAGACAUCCAUAGGUCGCUGGUUCAAAUCCGGCUCGGAGGA